AGUUCUUCUUUUGAUAAAUUGUGUCCAAAAUUGGCGUGCUUCGUUUGAAAGUGGCGUUUCAAAUUAUAUUCCUUGAACACAGCAACUGUUUCAGAACAAAUCAAACAUGCAGCUUUCACUCCAACGUCGGGUCUGACGAGAAAACACAGAAAAGAUAUCUUCACCCGGAAAUGUGUUUUAUUAUGAUGUCAUGGGAAUAUUUCUUGAAAUUUUUCAUCGCUUCACAGUAGCUGAAACAAACAAACAGCGGACAAUUUUGUGAAGGUGCGAAACAGUUAACUGAAAUAAAAUGCAAACUAUUGUGAAUUACCGUACAACUGAAACAGUUACGAAGUAUCUGCAUAGAAGUUGGGAUUCAUAAAAGCUCUCGGCGGGCCGCAUGAAAACCUAUGGCGGGCCGUAGUUUGCCCACCCCUGCUCUAUCGUAUGUCAAUGGGAACACCAAAUCAACAGUAAGAUAAAUGAGGUCAGAUCACGUCUUUUAUUUCUGUCUUGAGAUGUUUACGUUCUCUCGUCUUUGAACAAAUUCUGCUACGACAAGCCUCUGGUAAAGUUGCUGUAGUCUUCUUCACUGUAUAUGGAUUUUGAUGCCGGCAAGUGUCGGUACUCCGAAAACCGAAAUGAAACCUAUAGGAUUUAAUGAUGGCAGUCAGAUUAAGCUUUGAACAAAGAAAAUUCAUUCUAAAAUGAUACUGGAAGUGUGAAAAUGCAGUUGAAGUGCAAAAAUAGUUGGGGAGGGAGUUUCAAACAGAUCCACCAAUGCAACUCCCUAUCACUUGAAUUAGAGAUAAGUUUGAAGCUGAUGGAACUGUUCAGAAUGUCCACGAUAAGCAUUCCAGAAGACCCCGAACAUCAACAACCCCAACAAAACAAGGAGUA
This is a long non-coding RNA of Octopus sinensis (East Asian common octopus), 879 nucleotides long. RefSeq lists it as uncharacterized. The transcript is spliced from 3 exons. Lineage: Eukaryota; Metazoa; Mollusca; Cephalopoda; Octopoda; Octopodidae. The record is from RefSeq and is a predicted model, not a curated record.